GCUCCCUGCCUGGCUGCUGCGAGUCAUUCCUGUGGCCCUGGGGGAAGGCUGAGCUCUCUGUCUGCCUGGGUGUCGUGGCCCUCCCUGUAGUCGGGGCGCGGGCCUGGAGCCUGCGUGCUCAGCUGGCAGCCGGUUUGGGGCGACCGCCCCGUUAGCGGGGCCCAGGUCAGAGUGCCCCUGCAUGGGAGAGAAGGAGCCUCCCUCCGCCGCGGGGCCCCGGGCUGCCCUGUAGCUCGGGGACUGGCCUGUGCCCUGGGGCCCCUGGCCUUAGGCAGUUGGGGCAGUGGCCCCGGCCCCCUGUAAGCAGGGCUGAAGCCUCCUGGGCCACCGCUCUCCAUGCCCAGCUCCAUUUGCCCAGAGUGCCCGCCUCUGACCCCCGCUGCAGCUUCAAUCAAGACCGCUGGACACCUCGUCAGCUGGAGGCCGUGCAGUGGGCAGCGGCUGCUGCUCACAGAGAAGCAAGAAGAGGAGUCGUGAGGAGCGGCGAGUCAAGAGUGAGCCUGAAGAGAGGAUGAGGAAGAUGGAAGAGAAAGCUCACGGAGAAGCAAGAAGAGGAGUCGUGAGGAGCGGCGGGUCAAGAGUGAGCCUGAAGAGAGGAUGAGGAAGAGAGAAGAGGAGGGAGGAGAAAGGCACUCUGGGCAAAGGGACCGCCCUGGCAGCAGGGCUGUGGUCACGUAAGAGCAUGGCUGGCACCUUUGGUGCCCUUGCUCCCUUUGCGCUGGGCGACCUCCCUGUAAGCAGGGCUCGGGUCUUUGCUGUUGUUGGCCUUUUGCCAUGUUGCUCCUUGGCUGCCUGGAGAGAGGGACGAGCCUGUAAGGAGGCUGCGAGUCCCUUUCUCCGCCCCUGGGGGGACAGGGAGCUCACCGGAACCCAGGCCCGCCCUGUAAGCAGGGCCGGGCUCUUUGCCCCCCGCGGCUUUCCGCCUGCCGGCCCCUGGCCGGCGCCACCCCUGCGCUCGGGGUGUGGGCCAGCAUUGGCCCUUUGGCGCCCCGUGAAGCCCCUUGGCAUGUUGAGUGCUCCGGCCUCCAUGCAGCCUGGGGGCAGGCCUGAGCCUCUCCUCCCGCUCCUGGGUACGGACCGGGCCCCCGACGUUGGCUGGCUGCCCUGGGCUCCCUUUCUCUCCUGGAAAGCCGUGUUACAUGUCUCCUGUCUGCUGUGCUUGUCCCUUCCCUCUUGUCCUCUGUCCUGUUGGGAGUGAGUGAGCUAGCGAGUGAGCUUGUCCUCUAGGCCUCUGUAAAAAGCGCUGCAGCGUAUUAGCUUUGGCUUCCCAGGCCUGAAAGAAGGGCUCUGGGCAGUAGCAGAGGGGUCCCGUCUCGGGCCCAGAUUUGAGGAGGGGGAGAGUUCCGGCUUGCCCCUUCCUCCCCCGGGCAGAGCGGAGCCACUUGGUAAUGGUGUGGGCGAGGGGACCUGCCCGUAGUCGGGGCCCAGG
Long non-coding RNA from Dromaius novaehollandiae (emu), 1429 nucleotides. RefSeq lists it as uncharacterized. The transcript has 3 exons. The record is from RefSeq and is a predicted model, not a curated record. Lineage: Eukaryota; Metazoa; Chordata; Aves; Casuariiformes; Dromaiidae.